UUUCCGUAGGUGAACCUGCGGAAGGAUCAUUAACAAAUCGUGUGCUUGCACACAUUCAUCUAUGUGAAUUGUCUAAAAAUAUUUUUUUAGAAAUUAAAGAUUAUGUAUCUUUAAACACAAACGUCUAUUUUUAAAGACUGAGUCCAAAAAAUUAAAAAAAUACAACUUUUAACAAUGGAUCUCUUGGCUCUU
RNAcentral lists this unclassified non-coding RNA (192 nucleotides) under plant metagenome. Its description in RNAcentral is "partial contains small subunit ribosomal RNA, internal transcribed spacer 1, and 5.8S ribosomal RNA". The record is from RNAcentral.